CCUUAACUUGCUGGGUCUUACCUACGGCGCUGUAACUUUGAAGAAAUUAGAGUGCUUAAAGCAAUCUUACGCUCUGUAUACAUUAGCAUCGCAUAACAUUAUAGGAUUUCGGUCCUAUUUUGUUCGCCUUUGGGAUCGGAGUAAUGAUUAACAGGGACAGUCAGGGGCAUUUGUAUUUCAUAGUCAUAGGUUAAAUUAUUGGAUUUAUGAAAUAUGAAUAACUGCGAAAGUAUUUUUGAAGGAUGUUUUCAUUAAUAAAGAAUGAAUGUUGGGGGAUCGAAGGCGAUCAGAUACCGUCCUAGUCUCAAUCAUAAAUGAUGCCGACCAGGGAUCGAAGGAUGUUGCUUUUAGGACUCCACCGGCACCUUAUGAGAAAUCAAAGUUUUUGGGUUCCGAUGGGAGUAUGACCGCAAGGCUAAAACUUAAAGAAAUUGACAGAAGGGCACCACCAGGAGUGGAGCCUGUGGCUUAAUUUGAUUCAACACGGGGAAACUUACUAGGUCCGGACAUAGUAAGAUUGACAAACUGAGAGCUCUUUCUUGAUUCUAUGGGUGGUGAUGCAUGUCCGUUCUUAGUUGGUGGAGUGAUUUGUCUGGUUAAUUUUGUUAAUGAACGAGACCUCAGCCUGCUAACUAGCUAUGCGGAGGUAUCCCUUCGCAUCCAGCUUCUUAGAGGGACUACGGCCUUUUAGGCUGCGGAUGGUUAAGUGCAAUAAUAGGUCUUUGAUGCCCUUUGCGCACUAAGGACCCUGGCCUGUGGGCUCCCCAUUUGACCCAUCUUGAAAAAUGAACCAAGGAGUCUGACAUGUGUGUGAGUGAAUGGGCGAGUAAACCCGUAAGGCGUAAGGAAGCUAAUUGGUGGUAUCCCCCGAGGGGUGCACCGCCGACCGACCUUGCUCUUCUGAGAAGGGUUAUAGUUUGAGCAUACCUGUCGGGACCCGAAAGAUGGUGAACUAUGCCUGAGUGGGGCGAAGCCAGAGGAAACUUAGGUGGAGGCCCAUAGUGAUACUGACGUGCAAAUCAUUCAUCUGACUUGGGUGUAGGGCCCGUGGCUGCUUUGUCGAGCCAUGCCACGGAAUCAAGAGCUCCAAGUGGGCCAUUUUUGGUAAGCAAAACUGGCGAUGCGGGAUGAACCGGAAGCCGGGUUACGAUGCCACACUAUGCGCUAACCUAGAACCUAAAAAGGGUGUUGGUCGAUUAAGACAGCAGGAUGGUAGUCAUAGAAGUCAAAAUCCACUAAGGAGUGUGUAAAAACUGACCUACCGAAUAAACUAGCCUCGAAAAUGGAUGGCACUUGGAUCGGGAUGUGGCGUUAGUGGGAGCCUUGGGAAGAGUUAUCUUUUCUGUAUAACAGCCUGCCCACCCUAGAAUCGGCUCAAUCGGAGGUAGGGUCCAGCGACAGGAAGAGCACCGCACGUCGUGUGGUGUCCCUUAAUAAUCCAGAGGACCAAAUACCGUCCACGCCCAAUCGUAGUUAUAAACACAUCAGUUCUCCAAGGGGAACAACCUCUGGUCGAGGGAACAAUGUAGGAAAGAAAAGUCGGCAAAAUGGAUCCGUAACUUCUGGAUAAGGAUUGGCACUGAGGGCUGGGCAUGGGGGUCCCAGUCUCGAAACUCAUCGGUUGUUGGUGGACUACUCGAGCUGCACCCGCAGUGAGAGUGGGUCGCGGUGUGCCAAUCGGGGGAUGGACUGGGAACGGUUCCUUCGGGGGCCUACCCCGCACGUUGAACAGCCUACUCAGAACUCGUACGGACAAGGGGAAUCCGACUUUUUAAUUAAAACAAAGCAUUGCGAUGGUCCCAAUGGAUUUUCACGCACUGUGAUUUCUGCCCAGUGCUCUGAAUGUCAAAGUGAAGAAAUUCAAUCAAGCGCGGGUAAACGGCGGGAGUAACUAUGACUCUCUUAAGGUAGACAAAUGCCUCAUCAUCUAAUUAUGGAUUAACGAGAUUCCCACUGUCCCUGUCUACUAUCCAGCGAAACCAAAACCAAGGGAACGGGCUUCGCAGAAUCAGCGGGGAAAGAAGACCCUCUUGAGCUUGACUCUACUCUGACUUUGUCAAAUGACUUGAGAGAUGAAGUAUAAGUGGGACUCGAAAGGUAAAAGUGAAAUACCACUACUUUUAACGUUAUUUUACUUAUUCUGUGAAUUGGAAGCGGGGCACUGCCUCUCUUUUUGGACCCAAGCCUAGCUCUGCAGGCCGAUCUAGGUGGAAGACAUUGUCAGGUGGGGAGUUUGGCUAGGGCUUCACAUCUGUUAAAAGAUAACGCAGGUGUUCUAAGAUGAGCUCAACAUGAACAAAAAUAUCGUGUGAAAUAGAAGGGAAAAAGCUCGUUUGAUUCUAAUUUCCAGUACGAAUACAAACCAUGAAAACGUGGACUAACGAUCCUUUAGACCUUCGGAAUUCGAAGCUAGAGGUGUUAGAAAAGUGUUACCAUAGGGAUAACUAGCCUGUUGCAGCGAAGUAUUCAUAGCGACGUUGCUUUUUCAUCCUUCGAUGUCGGCUCUUCCUAUCAUUGUGAAGCAAAAUUCACCAAGUGUUGGACUGUUCACCCAUCAAUAGGGACCGUGAGCUGGGUUUAUACCAUCGUGAGACAGGUUAGUUUUGCCCUACUUAUGAUAGUGUCGAAGUAGUAAUUCAACCUAGUACGAGAGGAAACAUUGAUUCACAUAAUUUGUCAUCACACUUGGUUGAAAAGCCAGUGGAGUAAAGCUAAUGUGUGCUGGAUUAUGACCGAACACCUCUAAGUUAGAAUCCGGGCUAAAAGCAACGCAUAUGUCCGCUGUCCACUUGCCGACCCACAGUAGGGGCCUCAGUCCCCAAGGGCACGUGUCGUUUGCUAAGCCACCGCUGCAGAAGAGUCACAAUGGCCGCAUUGAAGAAUAAUUUCCAUCGAGCGGCGGGUAGAAUCCUUUGCAGACGACUUAAAUAUGCGACGGGGUAUUGUAAGUGGAUGAGUGGCCUUGCUGCCAUGAUCCAUUGAGAUUCAUCCCUUUAUCGCUCUGGUUCGU
Molecule: ribosomal RNA, 3010 nt
Filed under: Capsicum annuum
Lineage: Eukaryota; Viridiplantae; Streptophyta; Magnoliopsida; Solanales; Solanaceae
Description: eukaryotic LSU rRNA
Rfam family: Eukaryotic large subunit ribosomal RNA
Source: RNAcentral